Small nucleolar RNA from Coffea eugenioides, 107 nucleotides. Lineage: Eukaryota; Viridiplantae; Streptophyta; Magnoliopsida; Gentianales; Rubiaceae. The record is from RefSeq and is a predicted model, not a curated record.
UAUUGAUGAUGAGAGCAUUGAGCAAGAAAUAGUUUGAACCGUUCCCAGGCUUCAUGAAUUGGAUCCUCUUCCAUUUUAGCAAAGGUACAAAUCUUAUUCCUCAAAUC